Molecule: ribosomal RNA, 825 nt
Filed under: uncultured bacterium
Lineage: Bacteria
Description: bacterial SSU rRNA
Rfam family: Bacterial small subunit ribosomal RNA
Source: RNAcentral
AGAGUUUGAUCCUGGCUCAGGAUGAACGCUAGCGACAGGCUUAACACAUGCAAGUCGAGGGGCAGCGGGGUAGGAAGCUUGCUUUCUGCCGCCGGCGACCGGCGCACGGGUGAGUAACACGUAUGCAACCUGGCCGUGACAGAUGGAUAACCGGGAGAAAUCCCGCCUAAUACAACAUAAUGCCGGGAGGGGACAUCCCCUGCCGGCCAAAGGGGGCGACCCCGGUCACGGAUGGGCAUGCGGCGCAUUAGGUAGUUGGUGGGGCAACGGCCCACCAAGCCGACUAUGCAUAGGGGUUCUGAGAGAGAAGGUCCCCCACAUUGGAACUGAGACACGGUCCAAACUCCUACGGGAAGGCAACAGUGAGGAAUAUUGGUUCAAUGGCGGGAAGGCUGAACCAGCCAAGUCGCGUGAGGGAAUAAGGCCCUUCGGGUCGUAAACCUCUUUUGCCAGGGAGCAAUGCCGUCCACGUGUGGACGGAAGGAGAGUACCUGGAGAAAAAGCAUCGGCUAACUCCGUGCCAGCAGCCGCGGUAAUACGGAGGAUGCGAGCGUUAUCCGGAUUUAUUGGGUUUAAAGGGUGCGUAGGCGGCCUGCCAAGUCAGCGGUAAAAUUGCGGGGCUCAACCCCGUACAGCCGUUGAAACUGCCGGGCUCGAGUGGGCGAGAAGUAUGCGGAAUGCGUGGUGUAGCGGUGAAAUGCAUAGAUAUCACGCAGAACCCCGAUUGCGAAGGCAGCAUACCGGCGCCCGACUGACGCUGAGGCACGAAAGUGCGGGGAUCAAACAGGAUUAGAUACCCUGGUAGUCCGCACAGUAAACGAUGAA